GAAUCCAUCCGUCGGUCGGGCUUUACGGUCCGCACUGGUGUGAUGGAUUCCUACCUUCCGAAUAACCAGCAUGUCAUUAAUUUGGUGCGUUGGGGAAGCAGGACUGUUACCUCGAAAAAAUUAGAGUGCUUAAAGCAGGCUAGUGCCUGAAUACAUUAGCAUGGAAUAAUGAAAUAGGACGGCAUGGUUCUAUUUUGUUGGUUUCUAGAGUCGCCGUA
RNAcentral lists this ribosomal RNA (218 nucleotides) under Campeiostachys nutans. Its description in RNAcentral is "Elymus nutans partial small subunit ribosomal RNA". The stretch from base 47 to 218 matches the Rfam family "Eukaryotic small subunit ribosomal RNA", at positions 692 to 864 of the family's 1831-position model. Lineage: Eukaryota; Viridiplantae; Streptophyta; Magnoliopsida; Poales; Poaceae. The record is from RNAcentral.